RNAcentral lists this ribosomal RNA (666 nucleotides) under Entacmaea quadricolor. RNAcentral describes it as "partial large subunit ribosomal RNA". It matches the Rfam family "Eukaryotic large subunit ribosomal RNA", at positions 1305 to 1954 of the family's 3401-position model. The record is from RNAcentral. Lineage: Eukaryota; Metazoa; Cnidaria; Anthozoa; Actiniaria; Actiniidae.
ACUAGCCCUGAAAAUGGAUGGCGCUCAAGCGUCGCACCUACACUGUGCCGUCGGGGCAGAGGCCAGGCCCCGACGAGUAGGAGGGCGCGGCGGUCGUGACGCAGCCUCUGGCGCGAGCCUGGGCGAAACGGCCUCCGGUGCAGAUCUUGGUGGUAGUAGCAAAUAUUCAAAUGAGAGCUUUGAAGACCGAAGUGGAGAAAGGUUCCAUGUGAACAGCAGUUGGACAUGGGUUAGUCGAUCCUAAGAGAUAGGGAAGCUCCGUUUUCAAGCGCCCAAUCGCGGGCCGCCUAUCGAAAGGGAAUCGGGUUAAUAUUCCCGAACCGGAACACGGAUAUCGCCACUCGCUGGCGGGUGCGGCGACGCAAACGAACCCGGAGACGCCGGCGGGGGCCCUGGGAAGAGUUCUCUUUUCUUUUUAACGGACUUUCACCCUGAAAUCAGCUUGCCUGGAGAUAGGGUUCCAUGUCCGGUAAAGCACCACACUUCUUGUGGUGUCCGGUGCGCUCCCGACGGCCCUUGAAAAUCCGGGGGAGACAGUGAUUUUCGUGUCCGGUCGUACUCAUAACCGCAGCAGGUCUCCGAGGUGAGCAGCCUCUGGUUGAUAGAACAAUGUAGGUAAGGGAAGUCGGCAAAAUGGAUCCGUAACCUCGGGAAAAGGAUUGGCUC